GUCUACGGCCAUGCUACCCUGAACAAGCCCGAUCCCGUCUGAUCUCGGAAGCUAAACAGGGUCAGGCCUGGUUAGUACUUGGGUGGGAGACCACCUGGGAAGACCAAGUGCUGUAGGCA
Molecule: ribosomal RNA, 119 nt
Filed under: Pteropus alecto (black flying fox)
Lineage: Eukaryota; Metazoa; Chordata; Mammalia; Chiroptera; Pteropodidae
Also listed under: 1 other name
Source: RNAcentral